RNAcentral lists this ribosomal RNA (260 nucleotides) under uncultured bacterium. RNAcentral's name for it is "partial 16S ribosomal RNA". It matches the Rfam family "Bacterial small subunit ribosomal RNA", at positions 333 to 610 of the family's 1533-position model. The record is from RNAcentral.
CUGGGCCUACGGACGCAGCAGUGGGGGAUAUUGCACAAUGGGGGAAACCCUGAUGCAGCGACGCCGCGUGUGGGAAGACGGUCCUCUGGAUUGUAAACCACUGUCCCCAGGGACGAAGAUGACGGUACCUGGGGAGGAAGCUCCGGCUAACUACGUGCCAGCAGCCGCGGUAAUACGUAGGUGGCAAGCGUUAUCCGGAUUUACUGGGUGUAAAGGGCGUGUAGGCGGGAGAGCAAGUCAGAUGUGAAAGCCACGGGCUC